UAUAUAUACACACACACACACACAUAUAAGCGUGCAGCUUGGAGCAAUUGGGCUGAUCGUACCUUCUGCCCUGAACAAGCCUUUUCUAGUUAUUCUAACCUUCCAUUUCAGUAAAACGCACUUCUGAAGUCAGUUUCAGGCUUUCAGCAGUGGGAUUACUGUUGUUUUCAGUCACAGCCAGCGUAACAGUUGAUGAUCACCAUCAAUGAGCUAUAGUAUUUGAUAAUAUAAAUGUUGUAGCUUGCUAGAGAGUCUAUUGUUAUGAUGGUGCCUUUGCAACCAAUGUUUGGAUGGCCAUGUAAAAAACCUCUCUUUUUUCACUGAGUGAACUCUGUAUAAGCCAAAAACCGUUUUGUGAUGGAUUCUUUUUGUCUAAUUGACUAUUAAUGAUGGCUUUACAUUAAUAUUGCCAUCUUCUAAUUCCAGCAGAGUCUGGAAAGCUGAAAAGACCUCCAAUUAUUGUAAAGGGAAGAGUCUCAUAUAAUGGAAGAACCUCUAAUUCUUGUGAAGCAGAGAGCCUCAAAUGCUAAAGAAUAAUUCAAUAGAAAACAUUGCUAGAGUUUAUUUAACACACUGAAAAGGGGAGAAGGCCAUCACAUUUGCUUGUAGUUUGUAUUUUAUUUUGAUUUUGUCCAGGUGCUAAUGUGUAUGUGCUCUUUCUUUUCAGAGGGGAAAAAUGUAAAACCAGGUUUUCAAUGGCCAAACCAGCAAGUGUGAUCUGGUUGGAAAGAUAUUGCCCUAAAAAAUGAGACAGGCUUAUUGUCGAAGAUUAUGCAAUCAUUUAGAUUUUGACUGCAGAAUGCUCCAUGUUGAUUAAUAGUGCGACCCAUUUUGCAUAUUUACUUUCUUUUGUAGUAAUUGAUUAGAGCACAACUGUAUUCUACUAUUGAUGAAAAAUCAAUCUCAUCAGCGAAAGAGCUCAUGCUUAGCUCCUUUUUAAAUUUCUUGGAUCUGUUAUGAAAAUUUUCUUGCUGGUUUCCAUAUUUUUGCAUAGGAAAGUGAAAAGACCUCAUAGUAGUUAUGAAGAAUGAUGGCUCCUUUAUCUUGUCCUUUUUAAUCUUUUCUAAUUAGGCCAUGAAUUUAAUCACUGACCCACCAUUUUUUUUCCUUGGUUACAAAUUUAGACUCAAGCAAAACACUAAUGAUGGGCAACGGAACCCAACAACAGCUGGAAUGCUCUAAGCAGUAAUAUUCCAUGUAUCUGCAAUUCUGCAUGUAUUGAUUCCAGUCCAAUCCUAGGAAUUCCUUGAUCGGUGUGGAAAAGUGGGAAUUAUGUCCACUUGAGAGGCAGACACAUGGCAAUUGAGUAAAAGGGUAAUUGUAAAAAAAAAAAAGUGUGGGGCAAUUCCAGUUCAAUGUCAAUGGAGACUAAUAACUAAACUGAAUUCUUUCAAAUUGUUGAUGAGCAUGCGAGACACACAGGCACAAUAGGUCACUUUUUGUCCUUUCUUCCAUUACUUCGGAUGGACUUGAACCUAUCUAUCAGAGAAGGGCAUAUACAAUGUCCCAUGCAGAUGCAGGCAGGCAAAUCAGUGAGUUGACAAUCAACGACAACAAAUAUAUCUUCACCAUUGAAAGAAAUCUCCAAUCCUCAAGCCAAUACAUGUUUUUACUCUUAAGGGGAUAUUUGAUACGAGAUUAAUGAAGAAUAAUUAUUACUUUUAUAACUUUUAACUUUUGUUUGAAUACUUUAAAAAAAUAGGUUAAUUUUUUAUUUUAUUAAUAUUUAUGUCUUCUCGAAAAUUAAAUGUUAACCUUG
RNAcentral lists this unclassified non-coding RNA (1759 nucleotides) under Hevea brasiliensis (rubber tree). Lineage: Eukaryota; Viridiplantae; Streptophyta; Magnoliopsida; Malpighiales; Euphorbiaceae. The record is from RNAcentral.